This is an RNA transcript of Pseudophryne corroboree (corroboree frog), 1908 nucleotides long. It is a transcript of the gene named TATA-box binding protein associated factor, RNA polymerase I subunit A, with no coding region annotated. Lineage: Eukaryota; Metazoa; Chordata; Amphibia; Anura; Myobatrachidae. The transcript is spliced from 12 exons. The record is from RefSeq and is a predicted model, not a curated record.
UUCUCUCAUCGCUUGUUCCUGAGCUUCCUGUUCCUGCCAACCAUAAGAUGGCCGCGGCCUUAAUGACAUGCCAAGAGACAUAAACAUGCUAGCAGGCAGCUCCAGAGUCUCUACAGCCGGAUAUAAUAAUGGCAGAGACGGACACAAGUCUGGAGCAGAGCGGCGGAGAGGAGGAGCUGUUACGGGGGCAGGACGGAGAUCCUGGGAUAAGUCUUCCGCGGAGACGCACACAUAAUUCUGUGCUUACAAAGCGCUUGGACUCUGCCUGGACAGCUGAUCUGUGCCUGCAGCUCAUACAUAAGGCCAUGGAGCGUCGCCAGUGGAGUAGGGCUGCCACGCUAUUCUCCAGCUUCGUCCAGAACCUCGAUAAUCGGAGCAACAAAAAAUACAUUAAGGCCGCAGAGGCCAUUUGGCGGCUCGGGAGCGAGAUCCUGUUAAAUCACCCGGGCGGCACAUCUGACGAGAUCCAUUUAUUCCAUGAAACCAUGAAGAAUAUUGGCGUGAAGAACUAUCUCCAGAUCAUCCUGGAGCAGGUGUAUUUCCUGCUGUGUAACGGUCGGACCGACGAAGCCUACAGAAUCCUCUCCGCUGCCGAGAGCUGGAGGUUCGGACGCCUCUCCAUCUCCCAGGACAAGCUUCUGAAGCUGAUCCAAGCCUACCGGGCAGUACUGGACCACCGGGCCUGGCAGAAGAAGAUCUCUGCGGUCACUCAGGAUGCUAUGGACUACGCGUCCCAGUCAUCCCACACCCAGGACGCGUGCAGCUCCUUCAGACAAGCCAGCAGCACCUUCAGAGAGAUCACGCAGUUCCCCGGAGUGUGGGACCCAUUCAUCCUCUGCUACGUGGAUCUUCUCGAGACCUCCGGAGAUCUGCAGGAGGCUGAGACUGUGUUAAUGAAUUAUGCUUACAACAGUAAGAACCCGGCCAACCCGAAUGCCCAUGUGUACCUGUAUGAGUUCCUGCAGAGGACCAAGGCUUCAGAUGACAAAGUCAUAAAGGUUCUGAAAAUUUUGCAAUUAAUGGUUCCGUCACACAAGCACAUGCUGAAAUUCAGUAAACUCCUGGUAAAUUCUGGUGUGGAAGAACAUCACCAUCUCGCCCUGCAAGUUCUGCUGGAGCUCUUGGACUAUCCUGUUUGGAAGGAGGACGUGAAAGCCUGGCGAUAUCUAGCAAAGCAACUGAAAAGAUGUCUGUGCCGUGAACGUAAAGCCUGGGUGUCCGAGCUGUGGGAGUCCAGAAGUAGCUGGUGGCCUUUAUACCACUUCACAAAGCUGCAGGCGAAUAAGGAUUACUGGAAGUGUCCGGAACUGGCGGUGAGGAAGGCUGCAGCUGCCGGAAUGUUACAGGGACCAGGCAGCAGAUAUUUCUCUAGGGUCUGCAGACUGGGGACAGAGGAACAGAAGGCCACCUUAUCUCUCCUGAAGACCCUUCUCAAGCAACAUAACUGCGGAAACCAGUAGGCCGCACCUGUGCUGAGCUCCUUCAGUAGGGUGCGGAGGGACCUCACUAUGUGGGGUUUAUAUCUUGUUUUGGAAUAGGGACUGUAUGUGCUGUGAAACCUGCGAGUAUUGAAGCAGCCAGAGAGAAAUGGACUCGUCCAUUCGCUAUCCCGUCGUAAGAGGCGCUGCCCACGUUGCACGAAUGUUCUGGGUCCCUCACAGCGGUGACAACUCCAAGAGCGUAGCUACGGCCCUGUCGGACGUGACUGUGCCUGAUCACUGCUUGGAUGCGGUGUAUGAUGUUUUGGAAAUGCUAUGUACAGUUAAAGACAGGAAAAACUGGGAAGAUCCGGCUGUUGACGUCUGUCUCACGCUUGUCUGAAGAGGUGGUGUUACUGGUCCCUGGCUCCUCGGCUACCCUGGGGAUAGAACACUAGAAGACUACACUGAAGGGUCAUUCUAUGAAAAU